RNAcentral lists this long non-coding RNA (428 nucleotides) under Physcomitrium patens. RNAcentral describes it as "long non-coding RNA (PPAT_LNC008469)". The record is from RNAcentral. Lineage: Eukaryota; Viridiplantae; Streptophyta; Bryopsida; Funariales; Funariaceae.
UUGCCUUAAUUGAAGUUGAUGUCAUGGUUGAUUAUAGUUUUUUUUUAUAAUGAGAGUCGUAGCACCAAUAUACUUUAAACUAAUUAUUAUAGUAGCCAAUAAAAAUAGUGACAAUGAUCUUAGAACUUGUAUUGUUAUUUUUUGAAAACAUGAAUAUAUACAAGGCACCAAGAAGUACUAGGUGGAAGACAAAAACUUGUGUUGUUAUUUUGAAAUAAAAAUGUUAUAGAAAUAAAACCACAAAGGUUGAAAAGAUGAGAUGAAUAUGUGGAUGAAGAUUUCGGAAUGACAAUGGUGGUGAUUUUUGAUGGCUCAAAAAUUGUAGAAGUCAAAUAUAUACUAUAGAAAAGAUAAGCCUAAUAUAAGAUUAUGUUUUUAUAUGUAAUAUAGUUGGUGUGGCCAAUACGUCAAUGCUAAAAGAUUUUUGG